RNAcentral lists this ribosomal RNA (468 nucleotides) under uncultured bacterium. Its description in RNAcentral is "partial 16S ribosomal RNA". It matches the Rfam family "Bacterial small subunit ribosomal RNA", at positions 28 to 507 of the family's 1533-position model. The record is from RNAcentral.
GACGAACGCUGGCGGCGUGCUUAACACAUGCAAGUCGAACGGAAAGGCCCUGCUUUUGUGGGGUGCUCGAGUGGCGAACGGGUGAGUAACACGUGAGUAACCUGCCCUUGACUUUGGGAUAACUUCAGGAAACUGGGGCUAAUACCGGAUAGGAGCUCCUGCUGCAUGGUGGGGGUUGGAAAGUUUCGGCGGUUGGGGAUGGACUCGCGGCUUAUCAGCUUGUUGGUGGGGUAGUGGCUUACCAAGGCUUUGACGGGUAGCCGGCCUGAGAGGGUGACCGGCCACAUUGGGACUGAGAUACGGCCCAGACCCCUACGGGAGGCAGCAGUGGGGAAUAUUGCACAAUGGGCGGAAGCCUGAUGCAGCAACGCCGCGUGCGGGAUGGCGGCCUUCGGGUUGUAAACCGCUUUCGCCUGUGACGAAGCGUGAGUGACGGUAAUGGGUAAAGAAGCACCGGCUAACUACGUG